AUGCUUGAUCUCAAUGAGUUGCCUCCUGAUCUCAAUGAGCUUCCUCAUGAUAUGGAUCAGCAGCAACCCAGCAUACCACAAGGAAAUUGGUCAGAAAAUGGGCGAUCUAUUUACUACACGCAGGCAAGUCGUGGUGGAAGCCCUAUUGGCCAUGACAAUGUGGCAGGCCAGCCAUCAAGCCGUGGUGCCCCUAUAGCGGUGUCUCUGCAGUCAGAGAGCCAUACUCUAGAUGACGCAGGAAUCGAGGCAAAUGUUCCUGGUCCAACCAGGAUUGAGUUAGGAACUGGGGCUGUUGAUGGAGCUGUGCAAGAAGAGGAAGGAGAGGAUGAGGCUGGUUCUCAACCUAUGGAACCCUAUGUUGGCAUGAGGUUUGACAGCCUUCAAAUUGCUAAAGAUCACUACAACAGCUACGCACUACGGAUGGGUUUCUCUAUCAAGAUGAACACAUCUAGACGGACACCCCGCACCAAUGAAUUGAUAAAACAACAGUUUUGCUGCAACAAGUUCAAGAAGCCCAAAGCUGAUGAUGGAGGAGCUGAGGCUCCUCCUGUCUUGGACCCUAUUCCAGAUCCAAAAUCUGUUGAUAGUGACAAGGAGAUGGAAGAAGAACCUCCAAUAUUUGCUGAAGAGGAGGCUGGUACUAGUAAGAAGAAGAAGAAGCGCAAACAUGAGACAAUAAAGCAGACUCAGUGCAAAGCGAAGAUGUUGGUGAAGCUGAUAGAUGGGCGAUGGGAGGUGACACACUUUGUUCGUGACCACAAUCAUCCGCUCGUGAACAAAGCUUCAUUGCCCAAAUACUUGAGAUCCCACCAAGGCAUCUCACCUGAUGAAAAGGAGUUUCUGCGCAUCUUGUAUAACUGCAACUUUACUACAGGUGUGGUGUUUUUCUAUAUCCCUUAA
This 900-nucleotide ribosomal RNA is filed under the name Triticum aestivum (bread wheat). RNAcentral describes it as "partial small subunit ribosomal RNA". Lineage: Eukaryota; Viridiplantae; Streptophyta; Magnoliopsida; Poales; Poaceae. The record is from RNAcentral.